Molecule: long non-coding RNA, 957 nt
Organism: Nicotiana tabacum (common tobacco)
Lineage: Eukaryota; Viridiplantae; Streptophyta; Magnoliopsida; Solanales; Solanaceae
Source: RefSeq, a predicted model, not a curated record
ACUAUUUCUCUAUGUUUUUUCAUUGUGGAUGUCUCUCUCUUUCUGAAGCACAUAAAUUGAAGCUUGUAAAUAAGAUUCUUGACUUUCUCCUAUUAUGAUUUUAUAUUUGUAUUUAGUGUAGAAGAGUCUCCAUUUCCCCAGGCUUUAUUUAGGUCUAUAUAUCGAUUAGAUAAAUGAGUUCUAAAUAUAGAGUCAAUCGGUCAUUAAGCACUAGAGUUUCAUGAAUAGUCAAAAUUAACUGCUCUUUUGUUCUCUAUGCACUUUCUAUCCUAUCUGCUUCUUCUUCAUACUUUGGCACCACUUUAUUGAGAUCUGCAUGUGCCAAAAGGAUUGGACUUAGCCAGGAUUUAUUUUACAUGAAAUAAUAUUGAGUAUCAAGGGACUGCAUUAGCAUCAGAGUAACAUCUUGCAAUUUUGUUGCUUAUCACUUGAAUAGACCAGAUAGGAUGCAUGACAAUUCAGCAAAUGAUAGAACAAAUCAUGUGAAGGGUGCAAUGUAUUUUCUAACAUUGUUAUCACAGUUUCAUCAACUUAUGCUCAAGAGGGUCCGGACUACUCAGAUCAUAGCAUGCACAAUACAUUUACUAUGCUGGUGCAAUUUGACGGGCUUAUCUGGUGCAGUAUGGCUCCUUUGCCUUGUGCGUAAGAGCUGUUGAUCUGGAGAAAUUUAGCCUAUCAUUUUGGUACACAAAUAGAUCUUCAAGCUGAUGUAUGUUGUGAAAUUUCUGUGCUGCACUUUGAGUUGUGUAGCUGGUGCAAGAACAAGUCUUCAACUAGUGUAUUUAGGCUCUUAUGUACUGGUAGAUUUAGGCUAGUGCAAGAAUGCUUUAUUUUAUAACCGAUCAGGGUAGAUUGAAGUCUUUGGGAAGUCUGUUGAAUGAAGACUUUCAUUAUGAGCAAGGAAUGAAGAGAUACUUGUUAAAUAUGAAAUGAUAUUGAAUUCAAAUGAUUUUUUCA